This 424-nucleotide ribosomal RNA is filed under the name Fusobacteriota bacterium. Its description in RNAcentral is "Fusobacteria bacterium partial 16S ribosomal RNA". It matches the Rfam family "Bacterial small subunit ribosomal RNA", at positions 355 to 776 of the family's 1533-position model. The record is from RNAcentral. Lineage: Bacteria; Fusobacteriati; Fusobacteriota.
UGAGGAAUAUUGGUCAAUGGGCGAGAGCCUGAACCAGCCAAGUAGCGUGCAGGAUGACGGCCUUAUGGGUUGUAAACUGCUUUUAUGUGGGGAUAAAGUGCGUGACGUGUCAUGCAUUGCAGGUACCACAUGAAUAAGGACCGGCCAAUUCCGUGCCAGCAGCCGCGGUAAUACGGAAGGACCGGGCGUUAUCCGGAUUUAUUGGGUUUAAAGGGAGCGUAGGCUGUCUAUUAAGCGUGUUGUGAAAUUUACCGGCUCAACCGGUGGCUUGCAGCGCGAACUGGUCGACUUGAGUAUGCAGGAAGUAGGCGGAAUUCAUGGUGUAGCGGUGAAAUGCUUAGAUAUCAUGACGAACUCCAGUUGCGAAGGCAGCUUACUGUAGCAUAACUGACGCUGAUGCUCGAAAGUGCGGGUAUCAAACAGG